This 543-nucleotide ribosomal RNA is filed under the name uncultured bacterium. RNAcentral describes it as "bacterial SSU rRNA". It matches the Rfam family "Bacterial small subunit ribosomal RNA", at positions 774 to 1314 of the family's 1533-position model. The record is from RNAcentral.
AGUGAAUAGAUACCCGGGUAGUCCGAGCCGUAAACGAUGGAUACUAGGUGUCGGGGGUAUCGACCCCCCGGUGCCGUAGCUAAACGCGUUAAAGUAUCCCGCCUGGGGAGUACGGUCGCAAGACUGAAACUCAAAGGAAUUGACGGGGCCCGCACAAGCGGUGGAGCAUGUGGUUUAAUUCGAUGCAACGCGAAGAACCUUACCAAGGUUUGACAUCCCGUGAAUCUGGUGGAAACACCGGAGUGCCGCAAGGAGCACGGUGACAGGUGGUGCAUGGCUGUCGUCAGCUCGUGUCGUGAGAUGUUGGGUUAAGUCCCGCAACGAGCGCAACCCUCGAUGCUAGUUGCCAACGGGGUAAAGCCGGGCACUCUAGCGUGACUGCCGGUGACAAACCGGAGGAAGGUGGGGAUGACGUCAAGUCAUCAUGCCCCUUAUGCCUUGGGCUACACACGUGCUACAAUGGCCGGGACAAUAGGAAGCAAUGCCGCGAGGUGGAGCCAAUCCCAAAACCCGGUCUCAGUUCGGAUUGCAGGCUGCAACUCG